Molecule: long non-coding RNA, 716 nt
Organism: Arachis ipaensis
Lineage: Eukaryota; Viridiplantae; Streptophyta; Magnoliopsida; Fabales; Fabaceae
Source: RefSeq, a predicted model, not a curated record
ACUCUUCUCUCUUGGCCAAAAUUUUCUCUCUCUUUUAUCCUCGUGAUUAAAUUUUUAUCUUUGUGAGGUAGUUAAUGGAUAGACAUAUAAGUAGGAUAGAAUCAAAAUCAUUAAAUUCAACCUUAUCUCUUUACCUUUUUAACGUGUUUUACUUUCCUUCCUUUGUAAAUAUUUUACUUUCACCUUUCACCUUUCACCAUACUUAGUGACCAAGUACGAUUAAGAAAAAUAAUUAGAGAGAAAAAGGGAGUGAGGUCGAGAUUUAGAAAGACGAAAAAGAAAGAAAACCAACUUUAUCUUCAUACCAUCCCUUCUUCCAUAAUCAAUUAAGAGCACUCCACCACUUGUCAAGCAAGCAAGAACUAGGAUCAACUCUCUUAUCCCCUUCUUGAAUUUUCUUCAAGAAUUCACAAGCAAAUCAACACUAGAAGCUUUUAAAAGAGUGGAGGGAACACGAAAAUUCAAAGGAAAAGGGUAUUUUCUGGCUGAAAUUGAGGAGCUGGAGCAGAAGUCUGAUUCAGAGACAGAGAAAGCACUGCAGAUGUUGUCCGGAUUUGACCUCCUUGCAUUUGGAAGAGCUUUUCUGGAGCUAUAGAAGUCCAAAUGGAGCACUCUUAACGGAUAUGAAAAUCUGACAUCCAGAGCUUUCCAGCAAUAUAUAAUAGUCCAUACUGUACUUCGGAUUAGAAGGCCCAAAACUGGCGUCUAAUGCCAGC